This 495-nucleotide ribosomal RNA is filed under the name uncultured bacterium. RNAcentral's name for it is "partial 16S ribosomal RNA". It matches the Rfam family "Bacterial small subunit ribosomal RNA", at positions 28 to 507 of the family's 1533-position model. The record is from RNAcentral.
GACGAACGCUGGCGGCGUGCCUAAUACAUGCAAGUAGAACGCUGAAGGAGGAGCUUGCUUCUCCGGAUGAGUUGCGAACGGGUGAGUAACGCGUAGGUAACCUGCCUGGUAGCGGGGGAUAACUAUUGGAAACGAUAGCUAAUACCGCAUAAGAGUAGAUGUCGCAUGACAUUUGCUUAAAAGGUGCAACUGCACCACUACCAGAUGGACCUGCGUUGUAUUAGCUAGUUGGUGAGGUAACGGCUCACCAAGGCAACGAUACAUAGCCGACCUGAGAGGGUGAUCGACCACACUGGGACUGAGACACGGCCCAGACUCCUACGGGAGGCAGCAGUAGGGAAUCUUCGGCAAUGGACGGAAGUCUGACCGAGCAACGCCGCGUGAGUGAAGAAGGUUUUCGGAUCGUAAAGCUCUGUUGUAAGAGAAGAACGAGUGUGAGAGUGGAAAGUUCACACUGUGACGGUAUCUUACCAGAAAGGGACGGCUAACUACGUG